RNAcentral lists this ribosomal RNA (957 nucleotides) under Triticum aestivum (bread wheat). RNAcentral's name for it is "partial small subunit ribosomal RNA". The record is from RNAcentral. Lineage: Eukaryota; Viridiplantae; Streptophyta; Magnoliopsida; Poales; Poaceae.
AUGGCGAACUUCAGGAUGGACGACGACGACGAGUUGUUCCACCGCUACGACCCUGAGGUGUUGGCCGCCAACGGCAUCGACUAUCCCCCCCGCGAUGCUAGGAUGCGCAUCAAGUGGUGGGCUUUUCUGAUGCAAGUGGAGGGUAAUUUGAGACUUACAAAUAUGUCGGUACCUUCGGCAAAGAUCAUCAGGUACCCAGAUCAAAUGGAGAAGGCAUGGGGAUGGUGGAGGCUGCUGCCGAUCUAUCAGGGCCUCGGUCCGGACAUGCCCCUCUACCGGGAGUACCUCUGCGAGUACUACCUCCGCAAUCCUCCUGAAUCUGUUGAUGACUCUGCCUGUACUCGGCACAAGUUUGUGGUCCGAUCUGCAUGGACAAAUGAGAAUGGCCGCCUCAUUCCUCUCGCCGGCAAAUGUCUGGAGAUGGAGGCCAAGUUCAUCGGUCUGUGUGAGAGGAACAAGAUAAAAUUAACUGACACUGAGACUGCCCUGAGCCACAAAAUCAAGCAGCACGCGCAGGACAUAGUUGAUGGAGCGUGUGAAUAUGCUGGUGCAUAUGCUGCCGCUGCUGCUUUGGUGUGUAUCUGCAAAGAGGCUGAGUUGAUGUGCGAGAGGGCUAUGUGCGGGAGAUACAACUCUGGUAUCAUGGCUUGCAUGCUCUGCAAUCAGAUCAGAGAGCAUGCCAUCAGUCUUAUGGAGUACAAAGGGUCUGGAUCCAUCGCCGCCGCUGCUGGUGCCGCCAUGGUGGGCGCUGCAAAGGAGGCCAAGCUGUUACGUGAGAAUCUGAGCAAUCUAGGCUGUGACGAAGAAAUGUCUGCUUCCAUUCGGGAGGAAGCCUGUUGCAUUCUGCAGGACAUGCACACUGAAGCUUUUGGUGCUAAUGGGAAGAACAGCAUUGCUGCUGCUGAUGAUGGAGCAGAGAAAUCUACUAGGUACGGAUCAGCACUGCUGGGAAUUUGA